RNAcentral lists this unclassified non-coding RNA (2513 nucleotides) under Hevea brasiliensis (rubber tree). The record is from RNAcentral. Lineage: Eukaryota; Viridiplantae; Streptophyta; Magnoliopsida; Malpighiales; Euphorbiaceae.
CAGCUCAAACCCCGCGAGGCCCCACUUUCCAAGACUGAAACGCUCUCGCCGCAGUGUUUUCAACCCAAAUGAACUUCAAAUUUCCCUCAACUUGGCCAAAAUACUCAAGCAGAAAGUGAAAGGCAGAACCAACUAAAUCCCCUUACCAAUAAUUACUAGUCUGGAUAAGGAAGAUCCUAAAAACGGCAAAUCGUUGGUGUGAAAAGCGUUGGUGAGCUAGCUGCAGCUGGCGAGUUUUAGCUGGAGAAGUCAGACCAAGUAACAGGCACGACCAGUUUCUCUGCAAUUAAACAAUAAUUCAAAAAGCGUCUGUUAAUAGUGGUAGUGUAGAAUCCGAUUCUCACAUAUUUUCAUCUUUCCAAUAGGUUCCCUCUCCGUCUCCAUCUUUCAUCUAAUUUCUCCUUCGUUUUCUCUCUCGCUCUCUCUCUCUCUCAGUGCGUGUCUGUUUAUGUGGGUGGAUGUGCGUGUGUCAAGGAUGAGCUUGGUCUCCGUUCAAUACAACCAGCAGCCAUGAUUCUACCGUCCCAACCCCAACACCUCCGCCUCUCUACUUGCCACCGCCAUCCGUCCAAACCCAUUACCGGUUUCUGCGCCUCCUGCCUCCGCGAACGCCUCGCCGGCAUUGACCCUGACACCCACCAGGAAACCCCCAUCACCUACCUCGCUGCUGACCUCCGUCGCAGCAAAUCAUUUUCAAGCAGCUCAAAUCCCAAUGCCUCCUCCAGCUCCACUAGUACCACAAACACCUCCGAGCCGCGCCGGAAGUCCUGCGAGAUAAGGGCUCGAAACUCUCUCUCCGAUCUCUUUCAUCUUGAUGACAAGAGAAGAUACAGCUUGAAUAGGAAGCCAAAGGGUUUGGCUUUGGGACUUGAAUUGAAAGAAGAGGUGGAAAAUGGGGUUGAAAUUAGGAUUUCAGAGGAGGUUUCUGCACCAAAUGUGAAUGCUACUGGAAGAAACAUAGACGAUUUUGAAGAGGAUGGAGAGUUUAAGACAAUGAAGGAAUUUAUAGAUCUUGAAUGGGAGCGAAAGAAAAAUGCAGGUAGAGAUUUAAGGGACAUUGCAGGGAGUUUUUGGGAGGCAGCUUCCGUAAUUAGGAAGAAUUUAGUGAAAUGCCAGCUAAAGCAGAAGAAAGACAAGAAGGAAAAGAAACAUGUUAUUGUUGAUGGUGGAGAUGGUAAUUUGGUAGUAGAUGUUGAGAAGCAGAGUGUCAGAAGAUUAAGAGAGACCCAAUCGGAGAUUGGAGAGUACGGGUUUGGGAGGAGAUCUUGUGAUACUGACCCAAGAUUAACAGUUGAUGUGGCUAGGCUGUCUGUUGAUGAUGCACGGUAUUCUUUUGAUGAGCCCAGGGCUUCCUUGGAUGGGUAUCUGAUUGGCAAAACAUACCCACGGCUUGCUCCAUUGGUUUCUGCUAUAGAUGAUUCGAAGUUACCUGCUAAUGGGAUUGAGAAUCUGAAAGAGAAUGUGGACUUGAAGAAUGAAGGGGAGAGUAGCCCUGGAGGCACUGCUCAGACUAGGGAUUAUUACUCUGAUAGGAGGAGGAGAAGAAGUUUUGAUCGCCUAGGUUCAAAUAGGAGACUGACAUUAGGGGAUGAUGAGCUCAAAUCAAUAUCCAAUGCCAUGGUGUCUCCUGAAACGGUUGGGUUAUUCCAUGGGGCAAAGUUGUUGGUCACAGAGAAAGAAUUGAGGGAUUCAAAUUGGUAUUCACUUAAAGAUUAUCAUGCAGGGAGUACAGAUGCUUUUUCUAAGGACGUGGAUUCUGUUGCUGGCAGGAUUAGCAAAAAGGGAUUCAAAUUCACGAAGUUGCAGAGGUGGCGUAGCGUGUUGAAUGUUUGGGCUUUGAUGCAGCGGAGGGUUGAGGGCAAAUGUGGGAACGAGGAAAGCAGUAUUGGUGGAAAUGCGGUAGAUAGGCCAGUAGCAGAGUCUUGGCAUGAGUUGGGAGGGGUGGCCAAUGUGGAGGCAAAUGGGACUGUUAGCCAGAAGCUUAUAAGGAGUUAUACUGUUAGUGCUAGGGAUUCCAGCAAAAUGGGCUGUAGUGCGAGUAGUAUUGAGACCAAGGAAGAUGUUAUGAAGAGAAGGGAAGACCUUGUACUGCAGCGAAACCGGAGUGUGCGGUAUUCUCCAAACAACCUUGAUAAUGGCCUUUUAAGGUUCUACUUGACUCCACAAAGGAGUUAUGGAAGAAGCAAAUCUGGAAAGAGUAGGCUACAGAACUCAUGCUCUAUGGCAAGGAAUGUUUUGUAAAGGUGCAUUAAUUGUUCUUGAAUGGAAUGUGAUGUUGUAAAGACAUGGCUUAAUGUGUUUCUCCUGAUUCUAUAGAUAAAAAACACAUCAUAUUUAUCACCUGUUUUCUCUGCUUAAUUCCUGUUUCUAAUAAUGCAGCAAUGAUAAUUUGAAAGUAUUUGUUUUUGCGCAAUUUGAAUUCAAUAAUGAUGCUUUCCAAGCAAUAUAGAUGGUAUAUUUUUUUAUGGCAAUCCUUGCAUAUUGAAUUGAAGUAUUAUGAAUUAGUUUUUGGU